This is a long non-coding RNA of Triticum dicoccoides, 839 nucleotides long. RefSeq lists it as uncharacterized. NCBI's taxonomy places the organism in Eukaryota, Viridiplantae, Streptophyta, Magnoliopsida, Poales, Poaceae. The transcript has 3 exons. The record is from RefSeq and is a predicted model, not a curated record.
CCCUAGCCUGCGGCUGCGGGCCCCUCUCUCCUCUCGCUACGCCGGCGAUCUUCAGAACUCCCCUCCCCCUCGCCCAGACUCCGACCAACUCUCCACUCCCUCCCCAGCCCCAAGCAGUCAGGCCUCCCGUCUCCACCCAUCAAUCAACGCCGCGCCAUCCCGUCCGGCAACGCCUCUGCCGCCGCCGUCGCGCCACCCUGAAACCCCAAACCUCGGUGAUACCACGGCCACGUUACCAGGGGCCACCACCACUGCCCUGCCCCGAAAUACCUCGGGUGCCAGUGUCGCCACUAGGCAUUGCGGCGGUGUCCUGAAACCCCUCCGUCUAGGCGUACAAUUUCUACCGACCACGGGUCACGGUCGUGGUGGGAUUGAACGCCCGGAAGGAGUACGCCGACAGGAGCAGGAAGACCGGCGAGAUCUCCCACCGCAACUUGUCCUGUUUCUCGCAAGGCCUUCAGGCCUGUGUGAAGCCGGGAAGCCACACCACGGCUGAUGGCGCCGAUGCCGGACUCGGCGACGGGCCGCAGUGCCCACCUCCAUCGCCCGGCUCAACAAAUCUGGCCCCAAGCUUGAGACAAUCACUGAAGGGAAACUCUGCUCCAUGACUGCAGCAACCUAUGUUCAUGUCAUGGGUGAGCUGCCUGGUGUGGCGCACUGCCUCCAUCAUCUUUCAGUCCCCCCUCUUGUGAAGCUUGGUCCAGCCGCCUGUUCGAUCUUCUAGCUCCCAGUCAUCAGGCGAUCUUAUGGAGAAGCCCUCCAUACAGCUGCAGUAAGGAAGCUUGUCCUCUUCGCAGAUUGUGAAAGGCCCACAGAUGCCAUACACAUCACAAUGGUCG